GAAAGGCAGGGCCUUGAAGAGGUGAUUAAGUUGAUGGUUUACUGGUAUUUGUUGGCAUGGUUUUGAGGGCUUUAAAAGGAGAGCACAUGAGGACCUGUCUCUCUCUGCUCCGACCUUUCUCAAAAUAUGAAACCCUGUGUUGCUGAAGCCACGUCCAAGGAAGACCUUUACCAGAUGUGUUCCAUGGACUUUGGACUUCCCAGCCUCAGAAACUAGUCUGAGAUUUUGUCAGUCAAUGGCAGAGGGAGCCUAUGUGACCAGGCCCGGUGCAAACCUUGGACAUUGAAUCUCUGGUGUCCCUGCAGCACUGCAGUAAUGAACUUCCCUGCAACACUUUUCACAUGUUGUCACAAUUUGACCCUGGAGGAAUGAAGUGCAUCCUGGGUAACUCCAAUGGGAGAGAACUUGAGGCUGGUUACCUCUGGAUUUUGCCCCACAUGCCUUUUCCCUGUCGGGCCUUAAAACUAAUGCCACCUUAAGUGACAUUACAAGCGGUGCCAUUAUAGGCCCACAAGGGUGUAUUAACAUGGCAGCCUAAGGCCUCACCAGGAGGAAGUAGGGUGGGAGCGUCUUCGGGAACCUUGCCUUAGCCCUUAUUGGCCAAAUACAUGCUUCUGCACUCGUGAACACUGCGUGGUUGCAAUAGCUAGGCAUUGAGACAGGAUGCAUGCCCUUGACCUUUAAGCUGAUUGGAUUAUGUUAAAACCGCCCUUCCCCAUCUGCCUAUAAAAGCAAGUGCUUGUGUGGUAAUAAACGGAACUGCUCGACAGAA
Molecule: long non-coding RNA, 772 nt
Organism: Cynocephalus volans (Philippine flying lemur)
Lineage: Eukaryota; Metazoa; Chordata; Mammalia; Dermoptera; Cynocephalidae
Exons: 2
Source: RefSeq, a predicted model, not a curated record